RNAcentral lists this ribosomal RNA (442 nucleotides) under uncultured bacterium. Its description in RNAcentral is "partial 16S ribosomal RNA". It matches the Rfam family "Bacterial small subunit ribosomal RNA", at positions 338 to 795 of the family's 1533-position model. The record is from RNAcentral.
CCUACGGGUGGCAGCAGUGGGGAAUAUUGGGCAAUGGGCGCAAGCCUGACCCAGCAACGCCGCGUGAAGGAAGAAGGCCUUCGGGUUGUAAACUUCUUUUAAGAGGGAAGAGCAGAAGACGGUACCUCUUGAAUAAGCCACGCCUAACUACGUGCCAGCAGCCGCGGCAAUACGGAGGUGGCAAGCGUUGUGCGGAUUUACUGGGUGUAAAGGGCGUGCAGCCGGGAAGACAAGUCAGAUGUGAAAUCCCGCGGCUCAACCGCGGAACUGCAGUUGAAACUGGUUUUCUUGAGUACCGGAGAGGUCAGCGGAAUGCCUGGUGUAGCGGUGAAAUGCGUAGAUAUAAGGCAGAACACCAGUGGCGAAGGCGGAUGACUGGACGGCAACUGACGGUGAGGCGCGAAAGCGUGGGGAGCAAACAGGAUUAGAUACCCUUGUAGUC